GGAGUUGCCAGGGCUGCCUUUGGUGACAGCAGCAGUAGAGUUGCCAGAGCAGCCUGCGGUAACAGUA
MicroRNA precursor from Aotus nancymaae (Ma's night monkey), 67 nucleotides. NCBI's taxonomy places the organism in Eukaryota, Metazoa, Chordata, Mammalia, Primates, Aotidae. The record is from Ensembl.